This 157-nucleotide unclassified non-coding RNA is filed under the name uncultured fungus. Its description in RNAcentral is "sequence contains ITS1, 5.8S rRNA gene". The record is from RNAcentral. Lineage: Eukaryota; Fungi.
CAGAGUUCAUGCCCUAACGGGUAGACCUCCCACCCUGUGUUACUUACGUUUGUUGCUUUGGCAGGUCGCCUUCGGGCACUCGGCUCUCGCUGAGGUGCGCCUGCCAGAGGACCCACAACUCUGUGUUUAGUGUUGUCUGAGUACUAUAUAAUAGUUA